AACGAACGCUGGCGGCGUGGUUCAGGCAUGCAAGUCGAACGGUCCCGCAAGGGACAGUGGCAGAAGGGUUAGUAACACGUGGGUAAUCUACCCUGGACUCGGGGAUAACAUCUCGAAAGAGAUGCUAAUACCCGAUGACAUUUCCGGAUCGCAGGAUUUGGAAAUCAAAGGUGGCUCGCAAGAGCUGCCGAUCGAGGAGGAGCCCGCGGCCUAUCAGCUAGUUGGUGAGGUAACGGCCCACCAAGGCUUUUGACGGGUAAGCUGGUCUAAGAGGACGAUCAGCAACAUUGGGACUGAGACACUG
This 304-nucleotide ribosomal RNA is filed under the name uncultured bacterium. RNAcentral's name for it is "bacterial SSU rRNA". It matches the Rfam family "Bacterial small subunit ribosomal RNA", at positions 29 to 329 of the family's 1533-position model. The record is from RNAcentral.